RNAcentral lists this ribosomal RNA (507 nucleotides) under uncultured bacterium. Its description in RNAcentral is "partial 16S ribosomal RNA". It matches the Rfam family "Bacterial small subunit ribosomal RNA", at positions 29 to 523 of the family's 1533-position model. The record is from RNAcentral.
AGUGAACGCUGGCGGUAGGCCUAACACAUGCAAGUCGAACGGCAGCACAGGAGAGCUUGCUCUCUGGGUGGCGAGUGGCGGACGGGUGAGGAAUACAUCGGAAUCUACUUUUUCGUGGGGGAUAACGUAGGGAAACUUACGCUAAUACCGCAUACGACCUACGGGUGAAAGCAGGGGAUAUUCGGACCUUGCGCGAUGGACUGAGCCGAUGUCGGAUUAGCUAGUUGGCGGGGUAAAGGCCCACCAAGGCGACGAUCCGUAGCUGGUCUGAGAGGAUGAUCAGCCACACUGGAACUGAGACACGGUCCAGACUCCUACGGGAGGCAGCAGUGGGGAAUAUUGGACAAUGGGCGCAAGCCUGAUCCAGCCAUACCGCGUGGGUGAAGAAGGCCUUCGGGUUGUAAAGCCCUUUUGUUGGGGAAAGAAAUCCAGCUGGCUAAUACCCGGUUGGGAUGACGGUACCCAAAGAAUAAGCACCGGCUAACUUCGUGCCAGCCGCCGCGGUAA